This 253-nucleotide ribosomal RNA is filed under the name uncultured bacterium. RNAcentral describes it as "partial 16S ribosomal RNA". It matches the Rfam family "Bacterial small subunit ribosomal RNA", at positions 524 to 776 of the family's 1533-position model. The record is from RNAcentral.
UACGGAGGGGGCGAGCGUUAUUCGGAAUUAUUGGGCGUAAAGGGCGCGUAGGCGGCGCGAUAAGUCAAAGGUGAAAUCCCUCGGCUCAACUGAGGAACUGCCUUUGAAACUGUCGAGCUUGAGGCCGGGAGGGGGUAGCGGAAUUCCCAGUGUAGCGGUGAAAUGCGUAGAUAUUGGGAGGAACACCAGUGGCGAAGGCGGCUACCUGGACCGGUUCUGACGCUGAUGCGCGAAAGCGUGGGUAGCAAACAGG